Arvicanthis niloticus (Nile rat) is the source of this 537-nucleotide long non-coding RNA. RefSeq lists it as uncharacterized. The record is from RefSeq and is a predicted model, not a curated record. NCBI's taxonomy places the organism in Eukaryota, Metazoa, Chordata, Mammalia, Rodentia, Muridae.
AUGACCUAGAAAAGGCGAAAAUCACAACAGAGAUCAAAAUGAUUUAAGACACGUCCAAAGGCAAUCUGUCACAGCCACCUGAAACAUAGUCACCGCAGGUCAGUGGAAGAUUAUUUCCAGAAGCAACAAGCAGGGAAGACAGAAGGAGGAAGGAAAAGCAAGAGGAGGAUAUACCCCAGCUAUGGAAAGAGAACAGAUCCAAAACCAGGACAGAGCUUCCUACAAUGGGAGGGAGCAUCCAGAACUCUCUGCUGAGCCAAUCGUGAUGGAGCUGGGCCUUUGCCUGCCGGAUUCAAGGUAUUCCAGAGAACUUAGGCACCCUCAGGAGCCCAUCUGCCACACUUGAAGGAAGAAGGGAUAGUGCAUCUUCUGCAAAGGAGAGCCAGAGAGAGUGUUGGAGCCAGGUAACUCAGCAGCAACUUCGCAGAAACGCAGGCAGGAAGGAGUGACCCACUGGACGAUGUCACCCACUUGAAAUACGGGUGUGUAUGCCUGCUACAACACACCACAUAGAGGUCAGAGGACAACUCUCAGGAG